ACUGCUGAGCCAUCUCUCCAGCCCCCUAAAUUCCUUUUAAAGUAAAUCCCAUCCCUCAAACUUUCAAAAACAUUGUUUAAAAAACAUUCUGCAGGGCUGGAGAGAUGGCUCAGCAGU
Molecule: microRNA precursor, 117 nt
Filed under: Neotoma lepida (desert woodrat)
Lineage: Eukaryota; Metazoa; Chordata; Mammalia; Rodentia; Cricetidae
Description: mir-3473 microRNA precursor family
Rfam family: mir-3473 microRNA precursor family
Source: Rfam by way of RNAcentral